GCUCUUCAGAUCUGUAUAUUGCCCUGUAAAUUAUGGUAGUGGUACCAGGAAUAAAAAAUUAAGAAAUUUUUAACU
Molecule: non-coding RNA, 75 nt
Organism: Arvicanthis niloticus (Nile rat)
Lineage: Eukaryota; Metazoa; Chordata; Mammalia; Rodentia; Muridae
Source: RefSeq, a predicted model, not a curated record